This 363-nucleotide long non-coding RNA is filed under the name Gossypium barbadense (sea-island cotton). Its description in RNAcentral is "long non-coding RNA (GBAR_LNC014573)". The record is from RNAcentral. Lineage: Eukaryota; Viridiplantae; Streptophyta; Magnoliopsida; Malvales; Malvaceae.
CCACUCCGCCACCGGUUUCUACUCCUCCUCCCACUUCAUCACCGCCCCCAGUGACAGCUUCUCCACCCCCAGUUUCAACUCCUCCACCCAGUUCUCCUCCUCCUGCAACUCCACCACCUGCUUCUCCUCCUCCUGCAACUCCACCUCCAGCUUCUCCACCUCCUGCCACUCCUCCACCAGCUUCUCCACCUCCCGCCACUCCACCACCUGCAACCCCACCGCCAGCAACUCCUCCUCCUGCUACCCCACCACCAGCUCCAUUGGCUUCUCCUCCAGCCACAGUCCCAGCUAUCUCUCCAGUACAAACACCAUUGACAUCGCCACCAGCUCCGCCGACCGAGGCCCCAGCACCUACCCUCGGGG